RNAcentral lists this non-coding RNA (112 nucleotides) under Haloechinothrix halophila YIM 93223. RNAcentral describes it as "Amycolatopsis halophila YIM 93223 Glycine riboswitch aptamer". It matches the Rfam family "Glycine riboswitch aptamer". Rfam says of the family: This family represents the bacterial glycine riboswitch. Glycine riboswitches usually consist of two metabolite-binding aptamers domains with similar structures in tandem. The record is from Rfam by way of RNAcentral. Lineage: Bacteria; Bacillati; Actinomycetota; Actinomycetes; Pseudonocardiales; Pseudonocardiaceae. RNAcentral also lists the same sequence under 1 other name.
UGAACCCGAGCGGGAGAGUCUGGCCGUAGCGCGCCAAUGGUGCGUUUCGUCCGGCGCCGAAGGAGCAAAUCCUCCCCGGAACCUCUCAGGCACCCAGGACCGCUCGGGUGAG